This 73-nucleotide transfer RNA is filed under the name Actinomycetaceae bacterium. RNAcentral describes it as "tRNA-Arg". It matches the Rfam family "tRNA". From Rfam's summary of the family: Transfer RNA (tRNA) molecules are approximately 80 nucleotides in length. Their secondary structure includes four short double-helical elements and three loops (D, anti-codon, and T loops). Lineage: Bacteria; Bacillati; Actinomycetota; Actinomycetes; Actinomycetales; Actinomycetaceae. The record is from RNAcentral.
GCCCCCGUAGCUCAGAGGAUAGAGCAUCGGACUUCUAAUCCGCAGGUCGCACGUUCGAAUCGUGUCGGGGGCG